This 495-nucleotide ribosomal RNA is filed under the name uncultured bacterium. Its description in RNAcentral is "bacterial SSU rRNA". It matches the Rfam family "Bacterial small subunit ribosomal RNA", at positions 29 to 518 of the family's 1533-position model. The record is from RNAcentral.
AUGAACGCUAGCGGCAGGCUUAACACAUGCAAGUCGAGGGGCAUCGGGAGUAGCAAUACUUGCCGGCGACCGGCGCAAGGGUGCGUAACGCGUGAGCAACAUGCCCGUAUCAGGGGGAUAAUCCAUGGAAACGUGGUCUAAUACCCCAUAGUAAUUAUGUAAGGCAUCUUAUAUAAUUUAAAGCUUUGGUGGAUACGGAUUGGCUCGCGUGACAUUAGCUGGAUGGUAAGGUAACGGCUUACCAUGGCUACGAUGUCUAGGGGUUCUGAGAGGAAGGUCCCCCACACUGGAACUGAGACACGGUCCAGACUCCUACGGGAGGCAGCAGUGAGGAAUAUUGGACAAUGGAUGGAAAUCUGAUCCAGCCAUGCCGCGUGCAAGGAAGACGGCCCUAUGGGUUGUAAACUGCUUUUGUAUGGGAGCAAUAAGGGCUACGUGUAGUCCGAUGAGAGUACCAUACGAAUAAGCACCGGCUAACUCCGUGCCAGCCGCCGC